AGGCGUAUUCUGUGCGGCCCAUUGACCGCGACUGCCCCCCGCCACAGCACAGGAAGGAGAAUCUCGUCGUCCCCUAUCCCAAAACUUUACCCCGUGGAGAAGCCCCAGUCCUCUCUGCCCUCUUCUCUUUCCCCCCGGGCGACGGCGGCGGGGUGCUAUCCGGCGAGAUGUCCACCAACGGCGGCGACUGCGCCGGGUUCAGGCUCUCCGGAGCACUCGUCCUCCUCCACUCCGGCGACCAAAUCACCCGGAUCCCGCGUCAUCUUCCACUCCAGCGGCGACUCAACUCAAGUUUGCAGAACACCGGAUCUGCCCAGGGCAAGGCCCUCGUCCACGAAUGUGGCCGGGAAAAUUCAUUUUCUUCAUUUUUUUGGUCGGUGAGGCUGGAUCACACGUCAAUUACUUGUGCUUUUCUCCUAGCUGUUGAUCAUCUGUUCCAGAUUUGCACUUUUUUUGGUGAUUUUUAUUUUGUUCCAUCUAUCCUUUUGAGACGGGUGAUCUAGCUGUAUGGCUCGAUCGAGAUGCAUAUCACUUCUGCUGUUAAAUCCAAAAUAGACUGCUCUCCUUUGUUUUCUUGUAAUCCCCUUCCUUCUAUUCCUUCUGUACAUAUGCGAUUUUCUUUUGUUUGUUUGUAAUCCCCUUCGUCUGGACUGGAUAGAUCUCUCCUCAUCCUGUUGCUGCGCAGAUCCAAAUUUGCCGUGAUGUUUUUAUAGACAAUAUAUAUGUUGUUUUUUAUUCGUACCCAUGCUUAUGUGCCAGAUUGACUUAAUUUCUGUGAUGUCUUGAGGAUUCCUCUAACUUGGAUAAUUGAUGCUUAAUCCUGCUGGAACUUAAUAAUGGAUUUGAUGUUCUGUUCUUGAUGUGCUAAUCCAAGGAGUCACAGACUUGAGCAACGUUGAUGGUCAAGUGUGUCGUGGCGGCGAGGCCACAUCCCUUGUCAGAUACGCUGGUUGCGGAGCUACAAGUGGCUGGACCAGAAGGUGUUUCAGAUUAAAAUUUCCUCAUCCAAAAAACCAUUAAUUCUGAACAUAGUAUGUGCCGGCCUUGUUCUUGGUUAGAUUUUGAAUACACCCACAUUUCUUGGUUAGCUUAAGUUUUUUUAUAUGUGAUCUACCAGAUUCUCAAUGGUCUGAUGAUGAAUUAUCAUUCAUGUCAUCAAGUUUGAAGAUUCUUUGUAAAUGAUGUAUAUUUCUAGAUCAUACACUCCUGUUGAAUAUGAAUAGGUAAUUUGUGAGGCAUUGGGGUGAUCAUUUCGUUCUUGCAUGCCAGCCUGUUAAAAUUCACAUUUCUGCGAGCAGUUGACACCGCCAUGAGUGUAAAUGAUUUCAUGUCAUGUUUAAUCUAUGGAAGUGUUUAUGACACCGCCAUGAGUGUGAGCUUUUAUGCAUUGGUGUCUCUUAGUUAGGUAAGGCAAAUGUUAACAGGAAGAAUGCGAUGGAAUUGUCAAUGAGACCAAUAUGUCGAGAAGGGAGAUGACCCAGUAGUCUAAUGAUUUCUGUAACGGAUUGUUUGAAUCAUCUUCAAACUUCACCUGCAUCUAUUUUUGUUUCUCUAUGUGACUAUUACUUUUGUAACUGUUUGUUUAUUUUUUUGGGUACAUUGCUGACCCAAUUGUUCAGGAUUAGGAUCGGCAAUGCUCCUGAGGAGAGGGAGAUGAACCCCAACAGGAAAACAUCGCUACAAUUGUCUGUGCGUGCUUAUGGAGAGAAGGGUGUAUCAACCGUGGUGUUGUUGGACACCAGAACUGUCUUUUAUGCCCUUCCCUGAAUUGUUGUUUGUUGUACUUUGUUAAAUCAUAGGGCUGUUAUGUAAAAUGCAUGUUAAAUCUUGGGGCUGUUACUUUUAGUUUACAUAACUGCUAGUUCGAAACUGUGGCAUUGAUAUCAUGCCACUACUUAGCUUUGGUAGGCAGAAACUGAAUUCAAAUGUUGUUGUGGCUGCUGUUAACUACA
RNA transcript from Triticum aestivum (bread wheat), 1952 nucleotides. RefSeq lists it as uncharacterized. The record is from RefSeq and is a predicted model, not a curated record. The transcript has 3 exons. Lineage: Eukaryota; Viridiplantae; Streptophyta; Magnoliopsida; Poales; Poaceae.